AUUUUUAAAAAUUUUAAUCAAAUACAACACCCAAACCGUUUUGAAAUCUCCACCAACCAAAUUCACGCUUAUUUUACCUAAAAUAAAAACGCUCCUCCUCCUCCUCCUCCUCGACUCACAGCCGUCCUCCCGUACACCGCCGUUACGACUGAAUUCAUCCUCUACGGCUAGCCCAUUCCCACCGCCGUCAACCAGCACCACCAACGCCGUCCACCACCGUAGCUCUCACUGGUAUCCCCUCCUCUGUCUAUGUACACCGCCGUCACAGCUGUCGUCAUCCACCAGCGCGGGCCGAUCCGUCACUGCCAUCAAUCUGAACCACCACCGGCUCCCUCAUUCACCACCGUACUUUUCACAGCAUGGGGGAGCUAGAAGUUGAAAAGCAUGCUAACUAUAUUUUAUCAGUAGAAAAGAAGAAGGAUGAUUUUGAAUCUGUGGUGAUGGAACAUCUACGAAUCAAUGGAGCAUAUUGGGGGCUGAGCACUCUGGAUCUUUUGGGAAAAAUUGAUGAAGUGAACUCUGAGGAGGUUGUUUCAUGGGUCAUGAUGUGCCAACAUGAAUCUGGUGGAUUUGGUGGUAAUAUUGGACAUGACCCACAUCUACUGUAUACCCUCAGUGCCAUUCAAGUUUUAGCACUUUUUGACAAGACAAAUAUACUUGACAUUGAUAAGGUGUCAAACUAUAUCGCUGGGCUGCAGAAUGAAGAUGGGUCCUUUUCAGGUGACAUGUGGGGUGAAGUUGAUACACGGUUCUCUUAUAUUGCAAUUUGCUCUCUUGCCCUGUUGCAUCAUUUGGAUAAAAUUAAUGUGGACAAAGCUGUAAAGUACAUUGUCAGUUGCAAGAAUCUGGAUGGUGGAUUUGGAUGCACACCUGGUGCAGAAUCUCAUGCAGGACAAAUUUUUUGUUGUGUGGGUGCUCUUGCAAUAACCGGUUCUCUACAUCAUAUUGAUAAGAACCUCCUUGGGUGGUGGUUAUGUGAGCGACAAGUUAAAUCUGGAGGUCUUAAUGGGCGUCCUGAGAAGCUUCCUGAUGUCUGCUACUCAUGGUGGAUCCUUUCUAGCUUGAUCAUCAUUGACAGAGUUCAUUGGAUUGACAAGGAAAAGCUUGUUAAAUAUAUCUUGGACUGUCAGGAUAAGGAGAAGGGAGGUAUUUCGGAUAGGCCAGAUGAUGCUGUUGAUGUCUUUCAUACAUAUUUUGGAGUUGCUGUUCAGGUUCAUAGUUAACCUGUCACCCGAACCGACUAUAUCCGGUGGAAGAUUUGGUUACCCGCAUUCGACCAAAAUAAGAUUCAAAAUUGACCGAAUCAGCUGACCAUUGGCUUCUUUGAAACCAUCCGUUUAUGUUUUUUUGGGUUCAGAUCGGUCGGUUUGGGCGGGUGAUUCAGGUCUUUCACUUCUUGAAUAUCCAGGAUUGAAAGCCAUAGAUCCUGCUUAUGCUGUGCCAGUUGAUGUUGUAAAUAGGAUUUUCUUUGGCAGAUGACCUAGUUGAUAGACUAUUUAUAUCAAUAUACUGACAGUGCUUAAAUUGCUUAUUAUUAUUAUUAUUUGUUGUGUUAAAAUUGCGAAAACAUUUUACAUGAAAAUAUUGCACAAGCUUAGUUGAUUUUUCACUGCCCUUGAAUUGGGAGUUCAUUUUCUAGCCCCCUAGGCCAAAGGAGAUUUCACUCAGUAAUUUAUAAAUGCAUGGCAACUAGCCCAGGGAAUGCAUAUAGAGGAUGCCGUCGGAUUACGAGGAGAUGAUAUUUUGUCAGAUAGAUGGGGACGACAUCAGUAGCUACAGACAAUCCAGUGCACGUAAAAUGUAAAAGUGAACAAUGUUUACCCAAAUAUUUUGUAAUAUUGUAAUGGAUGUAUUCACUUGCAUCAGAUGGAAAGUUUGGCAGGGAAGAAGUUGAAUAUGUUGCUCUCCAAAAGUUUUAUGCUCA
Camellia sinensis is the source of this 1924-nucleotide non-coding RNA. Lineage: Eukaryota; Viridiplantae; Streptophyta; Magnoliopsida; Ericales; Theaceae. The record is from RefSeq and is a predicted model, not a curated record.